This 467-nucleotide ribosomal RNA is filed under the name uncultured bacterium. RNAcentral describes it as "partial 16S ribosomal RNA". It matches the Rfam family "Bacterial small subunit ribosomal RNA", at positions 28 to 507 of the family's 1533-position model. The record is from RNAcentral.
GAUGAACGCUGACAGAAUGCUUAACACAUGCAAGUCAACUUGAAUUUGGGUUUUUAACUUAGGUUUGGGUGGCGGACGGGUGAGUAACGCGUAAAGAACUUGCCUCACAGCUAGGGACAACAUUUGGAAACGAAUGCUAAUACCUAAUAUUAUGAUAAUAGGGCAUCCUAUAAUUAUGAAAGCUAUAAGCGCUGUGAGAGAGCUUUGCGUCCCAUUAGCUAGUUGGAGAGGUAACGGCCCACCAAGGCGAUGAUGGGUAGCCGGCCUGAGAGGGUGAUCGGCCACAAGGGGACUGAGACACGGCCCUUACUCCUACGGGAGGCAGCAGUGGGGAAUAUUGGACAAUGGACCGAGAGUCUGAUCCAGCAAUUCUGUGUGCACGAUGAAGUUUUUCGGAAUGUAAAGUGCUUUCAGUUGGGAAGAAACAAAUGACGGUACCAACAGAAGAAGUGACGGCUAAAUACGUG